GCAAACAUAGUUUCUAACCAAAACAUUAGACUGUGAUUCUAAAGACAGAAGUUAAAACCUUCUUGCUUGCC
Molecule: transfer RNA, 71 nt
Filed under: Nesotrochis steganinos (Haitian cave-rail)
Lineage: Eukaryota; Metazoa; Chordata; Aves; Gruiformes; Rallidae
Description: tRNA-His
Rfam family: tRNA
About the family: Transfer RNA (tRNA) molecules are approximately 80 nucleotides in length. Their secondary structure includes four short double-helical elements and three loops (D, anti-codon, and T loops).
Source: RNAcentral